GACGAACGCUGGCGGCGUGCCUAAUACAUGCAAGUCGAACGCACAGUUUAUACCGUAGCUUGCUACACCAUAGACUGUGAGUUGCGAACGGGUGAGUAACGCGUAGGUAACCUGCCUGGUAGCGGGGGAUAACUAUUGGAAACGAUAGCUAAUACCGCAUAAUAUUAAUUAUUGCAUGAUAAUUAAUUGAAAGGUGCAAUUGCACCACUACCAGAUGGACCUGCGUUGUAUUAGCUAGUAGGUGAGGUAACGGCUCACCUAGGCGACGAUACAUAGCCGACCUGAGAGGGUGAUCGGCCACACUGGGACUGAGACACGGCCCAGACUCCUACGGGAGGCAGCAGUAGGGAAUCUUCGGCAAUGGACGAAAGUCUGACCGAGCAACGCCGCGUGAGUGAAGAAGGUUUUCGGAUCGUAAAGCUCUGUUGUAAGAGAAGAACGGGUGUGAGAGUGAAAAGUUCACACUGUGACGGUAUCUUACCAGAAAGGGACGGCUAACUACGUG
RNAcentral lists this ribosomal RNA (505 nucleotides) under uncultured bacterium. RNAcentral's name for it is "partial 16S ribosomal RNA". It matches the Rfam family "Bacterial small subunit ribosomal RNA", at positions 28 to 507 of the family's 1533-position model. The record is from RNAcentral.